GACGAACGCUGGCGGCGUGCCUAAUACAUGCAAGUUGAGCGCUGAAGGUUGGUACUUGUACCGACUGGAUGAGCAGCGAACGGGUGAGUAACGCGUGGGGAAUCUGCCUUUGAGCGGGGGACAACAUUUGGAAACGAAUGCUAAUACCGCAUAAAACCUUUAAACACAAGUUUUAAGUUUGAAAGAUGCAAUUGCAUCACUCAAAGAUGAUCCCGCGUUGUAUUAGCUAGUUGGUGAGGUAAAGGCUCACCAAGGCGAUGAUACAUAGCCGACCUGAGAGGGUGAUCGGCCACAUUGGGACUGAGACACGGCCCAAACUCCUACGGGAGGCAGCAGUAGGGAAUCUUCGGCAAUGGACGAAAGUCUGACCGAGCAACGCCGCGUGAGUGAAGAAGGUUUUCGGAUCGUAAAACUCUGUUGGUAGAGAAGAACGUUGGUGAGAGUGGAAAGCUCAUCAAGUGACGGUAACUACCCAGAAAGGGACGGCUAACUACGUG
RNAcentral lists this ribosomal RNA (497 nucleotides) under uncultured bacterium. RNAcentral's name for it is "partial 16S ribosomal RNA". It matches the Rfam family "Bacterial small subunit ribosomal RNA", at positions 28 to 507 of the family's 1533-position model. The record is from RNAcentral.